UGGACACACACAAAUUAGUCUUGGAGCGGUGCUCACAUUAACCACCAUCUAUCUCAUCCAGCACAUCCUUUGGGGGCCUCCCUCCAGCCCAGGUGGCUCGUGAAAGUAUUUAUUCCAAGUGAACACUGAUUGGAGAGGUGUGCAGCCUGGUAGGAAGAAGCUGGCUCGGGUUAACAUCUUGCCAUGUGUGAUCACAAACUGGAUGGCCCCUCUACGGCUCUCUUGAGAGAGGACUGCAAGCGUCAACCCAGGACUGCUGGGUCCAGGCGAUGGGAGAAACAUAAUGCUGAUUUAGAGCAUUUACCACAAACUGGAAAACACCGUCCCAGCCCUGCAAGGUGCUACCACCUAGCUGGCACUGUCACUGAAUCUUCAAAAAGCCAUUCAACCAUCUGUCAAAGCAGUUGCUUCAAGGUGAUGGGGAACAUGGUGAGAUCGAUGAAUUCUAAGAGCAUGAACCCACUGCUGCUUUUCAUUUGCUGGGAAUACCAUGGCGGUGGACGAGGCAUUCUGGAAGGCCACAGAUGGUGGUUUUGGCAGCAGCACGGUGGGCAGUGAAGACAAAUCUAUGUCCAGAGCAAGUGUCAGUUCCAGUCAGAACAACCUGCUGCCUCUUCCAUAAUGAAAGCGGUCCAAUGUAAUCAACCUACCACCAGGGGCGGGAGUGCAGUGGCCUCAGUGCCCCUCUUUGCAGGAGAAGCCUCUUCUGGAUUGGAGUUCUAGAACCAUCGCUGCUCCCAAACUCUCCCCGCCUUGUACCUGCACUGCGCUCAGCCUUACAGACCUCCGAGCUCCGGAUUCACCCCCUGAAAACGUUGGGGAAAGACUACUUCUCCCUCCUUCCCUCAGGACCACGUGUUCCUUCAGGACGGACUGUUGAGAAGAAAGUACCAUUCGACUCAUUUAAAGAGCAGAGGAUAGAGAGCCCAGGGUGAGUCUCAGGAGGAUUUACUUUGUAAAUGAAGCAGAGCUUCCUUAGUGAGCCUGCAACACCCACAGGCCCAAUGCACGUAUGAGACCAGCCCAGGCGGUGACACGCGUCACCAGUGCCUGUGGGUCACCCGGCAGAGCCCGAAGCCUGCCACAAACACUGACUCUCUCUCACCAUGU
Vicugna pacos (alpaca) is the source of this 1110-nucleotide non-coding RNA. The record is from RefSeq and is a predicted model, not a curated record. Lineage: Eukaryota; Metazoa; Chordata; Mammalia; Artiodactyla; Camelidae.